AUUAAUAUGAGUAACUACAGUGGCGAAUCCUCCAUGGAUGCGGAUUACAACGUCGAUGAAGCUGAAUCUUGGUCAACUGGACCAGAGAGAGAGCGACAGGCUUAUGAGAGCUUCAGAGCUGAGACCCAACGCUUAGUAGCUCGACGCAAUGAGAAGAGAGCUGAGAGUGCUAGAGGAAAGAGAGCAAUGACCAGCAGAUAUGAGAUGAUCGACGAAGAUAUUGACGUCGAGUAUGAGCCUGAGUCAUGGCACAGAGAGACGAAGCUGUUGAACAGGCCUGAUGAAGUUACAGUGGAGGAGUACAUCAGACUUUUUGAGCUCAAUGACUUCUGGGGAACGAGGUACCCCUGUUAUCAGACUUUGGCCCAGCUGGGGCUACUGGAGGACGUACAACACUUAUUCGAGAAGUGUCAUCUGGAGACGCUGAUGUCUUACCCAUACGUUGCUUACAAGAAGGAAACAAUAGAGUUUCUCUCUACUCUGCAAGUGGAGAUGUAUCAAGGACUUACAGCAGAUGAGCUGGAGAGUGAAGGGUUGGGGUUCUUGACUUUUUCAGUGAACGAGCAGCGUUACCAGCUAUCUAUCAAGAGCUUGAAAGGAUUGUUUGGUUUCCCCAAUGGAAAGGGAACUAAACCCAAGUUCGAGAGGGAAGAGUUGAAAAAUUUGUGGUUAACCAUUGGGAACGAUAUAGCGCUCAACUCUGCGAGGUCUAAGAGCAACCAGAUUCGAAGCCCUGUAGCGAAUGUUCUGUACUCUAGGGAAUCUACAGGCAUCGUGUCUAACACAGACAUGGAGAUGAUUGAUUCUGCACUCAAGGGCAUUCUCCGCAGAACAAAGGGGAAGAAGGUCCUGAAGGGCGACCUCAAUGAUGCACCAGCGGUUAUGCUUCUGUUGAUCCACCUGUGUGGAUACAGGAAGUGGGCGCACACCAACGAGAAGAAGAGGGUGCGAGGAGCCCUUUGUGUAGGUGGUGUUGUGACACCGAUUCUGAUUGCAUGUGGUGUACCGCUCAUGUCUCCAGGGUUUGAUCCGAGGAUGAUGGAUUUAGAUCAUUUGCGUCGUUGUGAGUUUCUGGAGCACGACAUGGUUGGCGAUUUCUAUCGCUACAAAUUCGAGCACUCCUUGACCCGAACAGCCAACAUUCUGCUUCCCUGCACCGAGGCCAUAACCAUACUUCAGGGCGAAAACAUUGACUUCAAUCCUGCGCGUGAUUACCUCUACUUUGAGAGCGCUCCACCGACUGAUGACAACGGCCCUACAAAAGAAGCUACAGAGGAUGAGAUUGCUGAGACAGAUGAGGAUAGAAAGGAGGAGUACGAUACGAGCAUGUAUCAUUUCAGUGAGAAUGUACCUCCAGCGCGGGAGAGCAAGAGCUUGAGCGAAGCUCACAGAAACAACAGUAAGUUGCAGAGGUGGUGCAAGAAACAAGAUAGGCUACUCAUCAAGUGCUUCAAGGCCAUCAAGUUUCUGACAGACAAGCUAAGCUGCUCCUCUUCUACCACAGCUAUUCCGCAGGGAGAGCCUCCUCAGGACAUGCCCUCGAAGAGAUAUGACGCGCCAGAGCCAACUCGCCACUGGCCUGAGCUAAGUCACCACAGGCCUGAGCCUAGUGACCGAGUAGUCCCACCAGUCCCUGUGUGGCAUUCAUCAUUCAAGCCUCGGGAGCUCGGGAGAAAGAAGAAGGCGGCACUCGCUCGGUCUGGCAGUAGGAGUACACGACUUCUCCAGUCCCGUAGCUUACGCAACCACGGUGAUGGCCGCAGCAUAAGAACAGAGGUCGAGUAUCAUCAGAGCGCUGCUGGCCGCGACGAAGGAGCAGAGGUCGAGUACCCCCAGGGGGAAGCUAAGACACAACAGGGAGAUUCUUCGAUGGCCUGGGAGCAAUCACAAGCAGCUAUUGACGACCAACUCCGCUCCUUCUUCCACUGAGGUAAGCACCUAUCUCCACCAUUGUAAUAUACCAUCUCCUGUUUUUAUUUUGUUUUUGUGAUGUGUUUUGUCCUGAGUACUCUCUUCCAAAUUUGGUCACACAGUGGACUGUGUGAUUUAAGUUUGGGGGAGGGCUCAGGAAGUGUGUGUUGCAUUGUAUAUAAUCUUGAGUCUGCAUUCAUCUGAAGCAUAGAAAAACCCAAAAAA
RNAcentral lists this small RNA (2136 nucleotides) under Arabidopsis thaliana (thale cress). RNAcentral describes it as "ATSL039870". The stretch from base 1292 to 1512 matches the Rfam family "MIR854 microRNA precursor family". The record is from RNAcentral. Lineage: Eukaryota; Viridiplantae; Streptophyta; Magnoliopsida; Brassicales; Brassicaceae.